RNAcentral lists this ribosomal RNA (495 nucleotides) under uncultured bacterium. RNAcentral describes it as "partial 16S ribosomal RNA". It matches the Rfam family "Bacterial small subunit ribosomal RNA", at positions 28 to 507 of the family's 1533-position model. The record is from RNAcentral.
GACGAACGCUGGCGGCGUGCCUAAUACAUGCAAGUAGAACGCUGAAGGAGGAGCUUGCUUCUCCGGAUGAGUUGCGAACGGGUGAGUAACGCGUAGGUAACCUGCCUGGUAGCGGGGGAUAACUAUUGGAAACGAUAGCUAAUACCGCAUAACAGUAGAUGUUGCAUGACAUUUGCUUAAAAGGUGCAAUUGCAUCACUACCAGAUGGACCUGCGUUGUAUUAGUUAGUUGGUGAGGUAACGGCUCACCAAGGCGACGAUACAUAGUCGACCUGAGAGGGUGAUCGGCCACACCGGGACUGAGACACGGCCCAGACUCCUACGGGAAGCAGCAGGAGGGAAUCUUCGGCAAUGGACGGAAGUCUGACCGAGCAACGCCGCGUGAGGGAAGAAGGUUUUCGGAUCGUAAAGCUCUGUUGUAAGAGAAGAACGAGUGUGAGAGUGGAAAGUUCACACUGUGACGGUACCUUACCAGAAAGGGACGGCUAACUACGUG